ACACGGACCAAGGAGUGCAACAAUCGCGCGAGUCUUUGGGUUGUAAACCCGUCGGCGCAAUGAAAGUGAAGGUAGAUGUUGGUCUGCCGAGGCGAGAGUCUCCUUGCGGAGAUGCAUCGUCGACCGAUCCCAGGUCACGCUGUGAUGGGAUUUGAGUGAGAGCGUGCCUGUUGCGACCCGAAAGAUGGUGAACUAUGCCUGAAUAGGGUGAAGCCAGAGGAAACUCUGGUGGAAGCUCGUAGCGAUUCUGACGUGCAAAUCGAUCGUCAAAUUUGGGUAUAGGGGCGAAAGACUAAUCGAACCAUCUAGUAGCUGGUUCCCUCCGAAGUUUCCCUCAGGAUAGCUGGUGCCCGGUGCAGUUUUAUCAGGUAAAGCGAAUGAUUAGAGGUCUUGGGGUUGAAACAACCUCAACCUAUUCUCAAACUUUAAAUGGGUAAGAAGCUCGGCUUGCUUAAUUGAAGUCGAGCAUUGAAUGCCGGGGCUCCUAGUGGGCCAUUUUUGGUAAGCAGAACUGGCGAUGUGGGAUGAACCAAAUGCUGGGUUAAGGUGCCCGAAUCGACGCUCAUCAGAUACCAUGAAAGGUGUUGGUUGAUCUAGACAGCAGGACGGUGGCCAUGGAAGUCGGAAUCCGCUAAGGAGUGUGUAACAACU
This 651-nucleotide ribosomal RNA is filed under the name Hymeniacidon kitchingi. RNAcentral describes it as "eukaryotic LSU rRNA". It matches the Rfam family "Eukaryotic large subunit ribosomal RNA", at positions 659 to 1290 of the family's 3401-position model. Lineage: Eukaryota; Metazoa; Porifera; Demospongiae; Suberitida; Halichondriidae. The record is from RNAcentral.